UAAUACGGAGGGGGCAAGCGUUGUUCGGAAUUACUGGGCGUAAAGGGCGUGCAGGCUGUUUCGUUAGUCAGGCGUGAAAUCCCCGGGCUUAACCCGGGAACUGCGUUUGAUACUGCGGAACUAGAGAUCGGGAGAGGGUAGUGGAAUUCCCAGUGUAGAGGUGAAUUUCGUAGAUAUUGGGAAGAACACCAGUGGCGAAGGCGGCUACCUGGACCGAUACUGACGCUGAGACGCGAAAGCGUGGGGAGCAAACAGGAUUAGAUACCCUGGUAGUCCACGCCGUAAACGAUGUGUGCUAGACGUCGGGGGUUACGCCUUCGGUGUCGCAGCUAACGCAUUAAGCACACCGCCUGGGGAGUACGGCCGCAAGGUUA
RNAcentral lists this ribosomal RNA (374 nucleotides) under uncultured Alphaproteobacteria bacterium. Its description in RNAcentral is "bacterial SSU rRNA". It matches the Rfam family "Bacterial small subunit ribosomal RNA", at positions 521 to 896 of the family's 1533-position model. The record is from RNAcentral. Lineage: Bacteria; Pseudomonadati; Pseudomonadota; Alphaproteobacteria.